Molecule: non-coding RNA, 1714 nt
Organism: Nothobranchius furzeri (turquoise killifish)
Lineage: Eukaryota; Metazoa; Chordata; Actinopteri; Cyprinodontiformes; Nothobranchiidae
Source: RefSeq, a predicted model, not a curated record
GUUACCACUAACCGUAACACACAGCAAGGAAGAAGGGGAAUUUGAUCUCUAAGUAUUGCCUUUCAGGCUAACAUAUCACCAGUAUAAACAGUUAACACAACACACCCUCAAGUAGUGAUGGGUCCAGCAACACCGACACACCGGUGACCGGCGCAUGUGUCAAGCUCAUGGAGCGAAACCUGUGUCGAUGCGUGUGUUGCUUUAAGAAAAAGUCACGUGACCGACGCUGCUGCUGUGUCGCUCAUUGCCAAGGCGCCAAACGGUGUUUAUAAGGUAUCAACUCUGCAUCUGUCAACAACGGGAGGGAAUCACUUACGUUUUCAAAGGUAAAACAAGACAUCCCUCUCUACAUCAACAAAAUGGAGCCGGAGAGAAAAAGAAAAGUAUCUGCUGUGUGGGAUCAUUUUGAUCUUUUAACUUGCUAAUAAGGUUAAAUGUCGCAUCUGCUCAGCGGAGUUGUCUUACACAAAUAAGAGCACAUCCUCAAUGCUGAGACAUUACAGUCAAGCAUGAAAACGAAGAGGAAGUAAAUACACCAAGAACGGACACAGAAUCUAGGAAGAUUGCUCUGGACCAAGCAGUCCUGAAUUUUAUUAUAAAGGACUGCCAACCCCUGAGCAUUGUGGAGAGUGAGGGGUUCAGGGGGUUGAUUCUGGUCCUUGAUCCAUCUAACGUUUUGCCAACCAGAAAGACGGUUAAGGAAAUGAUGGCCAAAAAGCAUGCGGAGGAACUCGAACGAGUAAAAAGGGAAGUACAGCAAGCUGUGGCAGUGCGUAUAACAGCUGAUACGUGGACCUCCUUGAACAUGGAGGCUUAGCUCUUACCUGUCACUACAUCAGUGAUAAUAUGCAGUUGUGUACGUCUGUGUUGGGAGUCAAACACUUUCCACAAAGUCACACUGCUGACACUCUGGCCCAAGUCAAAAGGGGCAUGAUGGAUGACUGGGCCAUAACAAAUAAGGUAAGGUGUCUUGUGACCGAUGCAGCACCAAACAUGAUAGCAGCAACACGAACUCUUCAAAUUCGACAUUCAAUCUGCAUUUUGCACACAAACUAAAUUUAAUAGUCAAAAAAUCCUGUGAUCAGAUCCCUGAACUUUCAUCCAUAAGACACAAAUCUAGGCAAAUCAUAUAAUUCUUCAGAUCCAGCACCACAGCAAAAGAGAAGCUUGCUCAAGUGCAGCAACAGAUGGGACGGCCCACCUUGAAACUUGUCACUGAGGUGCCAGCACGUUGGAACAGCACAUAUCAGAUGCUGUCACGGCUACAUGAUGAGAGAGAACCAGUGUGGGUGUCUCUUGCCUCUCUCCUAACAGAUUGAACUCCACUCACAGCUGAUGGGUGUAACAUCUUAAGGGAAGCACUUCUUGUGCUGGCCCCUUUCCAUCAGGCCACAGUGGAGUUGCCUGAGGAGAGUUUCAGGAUCAAAGGUCAUCCUGAUGAUGAAAAUGCUAAAUUGUGCACUUGAGCGGAACUCUUCGCAUCUACACACACAAGCAGCCACACAUCUCCAUGACCAGCUUAGAUGUCGCGUCACAGACACUGCUUCUAACCUGGAGUCAUUAAGUGUGUUGACCCUAUCAACACUUUUCGACCCCAGAUUUAAAACACUCGGAUUUCGUAGUUCCUCCAAGUGUAGUGAGGCUGUCAGUCGCCUGAAAAUGGAGUGUGCUGCAGCCACAGCCUGGACCUUCAUCAGAGCAGUUACCCACUUCA